This 449-nucleotide ribosomal RNA is filed under the name uncultured bacterium. Its description in RNAcentral is "partial 16S ribosomal RNA". It matches the Rfam family "Bacterial small subunit ribosomal RNA", at positions 330 to 793 of the family's 1533-position model. The record is from RNAcentral.
GCCAGACUCCUACGGGAGGCAGCAGUGAGGAAUAUUGGUCAAUGGGCGAGAGCCUGAACCAGCCAAGUCGCGUGAAGGAAGAAGGCUUUCGGGUUGUAAACUUCUUUUCUGAGGGACGAAGAAAGUGACGGUACCUCAGGAAUAAGCCACGGCUAACUACGUGCCAGCAGCCGCGGUAAUACGUAGGUGGCAAGCGUUAUCCGGAUUUAUUGGGUGUAAAGGGCGUGUAGGCGGGAAAGCAAGUCAGAUGUGAAAACUCAGGGCUCAACCCUGAGCCUGCAUUUGAAACUGUUUUUCUUGAGUGCUGGAGAGGCAAUCGGAAUUCCGUGUGUAGCGGUGAAAUGCGUAGAUAUACGGAGGAACACCAGUGGCGAAGGCGGAUUGCUGGACAGUAACUGACGCUGAGGCGCGAAAGCGUGGGGAGCAAACAGGAUUAGAUACCCUAGUAA